GGAGGACGAUCUAUGUCUUUCCAUCACACUACAUGUAUGUCUACAGAACGUUGAAAGUCGUCUCGACCCUUGACGGGGUUGGACGCAAAACUAUAAUACAACUUUCAGCAACGGAUCUCUUGGCUCUCGCAUCGAUGAAGAACGCAGCGAAUUGCGAUAA
This 160-nucleotide ribosomal RNA is filed under the name Phlebopus portentosus. Its description in RNAcentral is "5.8S ribosomal RNA". The stretch from base 100 to 160 matches the Rfam family "5.8S ribosomal RNA", at positions 1 to 61 of the family's 154-position model. The record is from RNAcentral. Lineage: Eukaryota; Fungi; Basidiomycota; Agaricomycetes; Boletales; Boletinellaceae.